UACGGGGGGUGCGAGCGUUGUCCGGAAUCAUUGGGCGUAAAGAGCGUGUAGGCGGUCCGGUAAGUCCGCUGUGAAAGUCGGGGGCUCAACCCUCGAAUGCCGGUGGAUACUGUCGGGCUAGAGUGCGGAAGAGGCGAGUGGAAUUCCUGGUGUAGCGGUGAAAUGCGCAGAUAUCAGGAGGAACACCUAUUGCGAAGGCAGCUCACUAAGCCAUAACUGACGCUGAUGCACGAAAGCGUGGGGAGCAAACAGG
This 253-nucleotide ribosomal RNA is filed under the name uncultured bacterium. RNAcentral describes it as "partial 16S ribosomal RNA". It matches the Rfam family "Bacterial small subunit ribosomal RNA", at positions 524 to 776 of the family's 1533-position model. The record is from RNAcentral.